UUCCAAAGCAAUUCAUGGGUUGAGCCCAUGCAUUUCACUUCAGACUUGCUUCGCCGUCUGCGCUCCCUUUACACCCAGUAAAUCCGGAUAACGCUUGCCCCCUACGUAUUACCGCGGCUGCUGGCACGUAGUUAGCCGGGGCUUCUUAGUCAGGUACCGUCAUUUUCUUCCCUGCUGAUAGAGCUUUACAUACCGAAAUACUUCUUCACUCACGCGGCGUCGCUGGAUCAGGGUUUCCCCCAUUGUCCAAUAUUCCCCACUGCUGCCUCCCGUAGGAGUUUGGGCCGUGUCUCAGUCCCAAUGUGGCCGUUCACCCUCUCAGGCCGGCUACCGAUCGUCGCCUUGGUGAGCCUCUACCUCACCAACUAGCUAAUCGGACGCGGAUCCAUCUUAUACCUAUAAAUAUUUUACCCCUGCACCAUGCGGUGCUGUGGUCUUAUGCGGUCUUAGCGGAAAUUUCUCUCCGUUAUCCCCCUGUAUAAGGCAGGUUAUCCACGCGUUACUCACCCGUCCGCCACUAAGUCUACUAAAAUUCCAUCCGAAGACUUCCUUUUAGCAGCUUCGUUCGACUUGCAUGUGUUAAGCACGCCGCCAGCGUUCAUCCUGAGCCAGGAUCAAACCCUC
Molecule: ribosomal RNA, 624 nt
Filed under: uncultured bacterium
Lineage: Bacteria
Description: partial 16S ribosomal RNA
Source: RNAcentral